This 329-nucleotide unclassified non-coding RNA is filed under the name soil metagenome. RNAcentral describes it as "partial contains 5.8S ribosomal RNA, internal transcribed spacer 2, and large subunit ribosomal RNA". The stretch from base 1 to 120 matches the Rfam family "5.8S ribosomal RNA", at positions 35 to 154 of the family's 154-position model. The record is from RNAcentral.
GAUGAAGAACGCAGCGAAAUGCGAUAAGUAAUGUGAAUUGCAGAAUUCAGUGAAUCAUCGAAUCUUUGAACGCACAUUGUGCCCCCUGGUAUUCCGGGGGGCAUGCCUGUCCGAGCGUCAUUACAACCCUCAAGCUCAGCUUGGUGUUGGGCCCCGCCGCCCCGGCGGGCCCUAAAGUCAGUGGCGGUGCCGUCCGGCUCCGAGCGUAGUAAUUCUUCUCGCUCUGGAGGUCCGGUCGUGUGCUCGCCAGCACCCCCCAAUUUUUUUCAGGUUGACCUCGGAUCAGGUAGGGAUACCCGCUGAACUUAAGCAUAUCAAUAAGCGGAGGA